RNAcentral lists this ribosomal RNA (465 nucleotides) under uncultured bacterium. RNAcentral describes it as "partial 16S ribosomal RNA". It matches the Rfam family "Bacterial small subunit ribosomal RNA", at positions 28 to 507 of the family's 1533-position model. The record is from RNAcentral.
GACGAACGCUGGCGGCGUGCUUAACACAUGCAAGUCGAACGGAAAGGCCCCUUUGGGGUUACUCGAGUGGCGAACGGGUGAGUAACACGUGAGUAACCUGCCCUUUACUUCUGGAUAACUUCAGGAAACUGGGGCUAAUACCGGAUAGGAAUCCUUGCUGCAUGGUGUGGGUUGGAAAGCUUCGGCGGUUUUGGAUGGACUCGCGGCUUAUCAGCUUGUUGGUGGGGUAGUGGCUUACCAAGGCUUUGACGGGUAGCCGGCCUGUGAGGGCGAGCGGCCACCUUGGGACUGAGAGACGGCCCAGACUCCUAAGGGAGGAAGCAGUGGGGAAUAUUGCACAAUGGGCGGAAGGCUGAUGAAGAAGGGCCGCGUGCGGGAUGACGGCCUUCGGGUUGUAAAACGCUUUCAGCAGGGGCGAAGCUUGUGGUGACGGUACCUGCAGAAGAAGCACCGGCUAACUACGUG